UACGGAGGAUCCGAGCGUUAUCCGGAUUUAUUGGGUCUAAAGGGAGCGUAGGUGGAUUGUUAAGUCGGUUGUGAAAGUUUGCGGCUCAACCGUAAAAUUGCAGUUGAAACUGGCAGUCUUGAGUACAGUAGAGGUGGGCGGAAUUCGUGGUGUAGCGGUGAAAUGCUUAGAUAUCACGAAGAACUCCGAUUGCGAAGGCAGCUCACUGGACUGCAACUGACACUGAGGCUCGAAAGUGUGGGUAUCAAACAGG
This 253-nucleotide ribosomal RNA is filed under the name uncultured bacterium. Its description in RNAcentral is "partial 16S ribosomal RNA". It matches the Rfam family "Bacterial small subunit ribosomal RNA", at positions 524 to 776 of the family's 1533-position model. The record is from RNAcentral.